CCUACGGGUGGCUGCAGUGGGGGAUAUUGCACAAUGGGGGGAACCCUGAUGCCGCGACGCCGCGUGGGUGAAGGAGCGCUUCGGCGUGUAAAGCCCUAUCGGCAGGGAAGAAGGUGGACGGUCCCUGACUAAGAAGCCCCGGCUAACUACGUGCCACCAGCCGCGGUAAUACGGUGGGGGCAAGCGUGAUCCUGAUUUACUGGGGGUAAAGGGGGCGCAGGCGGCAGCGCAAGCCAAGAGUGAAAGCCCGGGGGCAAACCCCGGGACUGCGCUUGAUACUGGGGGGCUGGAGUGCAGGAGGGGCAGGCGGAAUUCCUGGUGUAGCGGUGAAAUGCGUAGAUAUCAGGAGGAACACCGGUGGCGAAGGCGGCCUGCUGGACUGCGACUGACGUUGAGGCCCGAAAGCGUGGGGAGCAAACAGGAUUAGAUACCCUUGUAGUC
RNAcentral lists this ribosomal RNA (441 nucleotides) under uncultured bacterium. RNAcentral describes it as "partial 16S ribosomal RNA". It matches the Rfam family "Bacterial small subunit ribosomal RNA", at positions 338 to 795 of the family's 1533-position model. The record is from RNAcentral.